Coturnix japonica (Japanese quail) is the source of this 3575-nucleotide non-coding RNA. The record is from RefSeq and is a predicted model, not a curated record. NCBI's taxonomy places the organism in Eukaryota, Metazoa, Chordata, Aves, Galliformes, Phasianidae.
GAUUCUCACAGCCUGUCAUACAACCUGUGCCUGUGUCACAGUUUGCAGUCUCUGUGCUUUGUUCCGGGUUGGAUGGGUUAUAUACACCUCUCGAGUUUGUGUCCGUGGAUGUGUUUGAUGCAUGUGUGUACACACAGACCUCUUUACCAACACGGCAAAUAAUACACAGAUAAAUACACAAGCGGGGAUCAAUCACGCAUUUUCAGUUUAUUGUACCAUACAGUGUGUAUGCAGUGCCAUUGUUCUCUCACCGUGCUUGCUCAGAAACAUGCAGCUUGUAUUUCUUUAUUAUUAUUAUUAUGAUUAACUAAAAAGUCCAAAAAAAAAAAAAAAUUUUUUUUUUUUUUUAGUCCAGUUAAAUACCAACUGGUGUCUGGGAACGCACAAUUUCAGCACAGUGAGCAGUGAUUCAGACCCUGGCAGUGUUUUGGCUAUGAGACAAUUCCUACUUAUAAAGAGCACAAUGAGGAGGGGAGAUAUAGCAUUAAUUUUAAGGAAGAUUAAUAUUAGUCUUUUUAAUGAUCAUGGCUCUCUGAAGAAUCCUUAUAGCUGCCGAGAGCUGUUGUGCCCUUCCCACUAGUAUUUAUUCAAGCAAAGGAAAAAAUGAAGAAGGCGUAGAAUAAACUAAGUCUGUUCAAGAAUUACUGGCAUUAUUUCUCCCUGCAUCACGUGUGAGCCGGGUUGCCUGCUAUUCCUGAGGCAGAGGAUCGAGGAUGAAAGUCUGUGUGUCAGAGCCUGUUUUCACAACUGCAUUUGGAGAUCCGUCUUAUUGAUUAGGAAAAAAAGGGGGUGGGAAUAGGAGUGUGAGGUGAGGGGAGGACCGACCGACUACUGGCUUAUUGCAGCUCAAGACAUUUUCUUCCGGAAAGAUGUCAAACAACUGAGACACAGCAACAGAGGAAGUAGAAAGGUGGAAAAAUAAGAAGAGGGACCCUUUGGAAGAAAUGAAGGCAUUCCUUAUGAGAGCCUUGAGGCUUUUUUUUCUUCUAACAUCUGACCCACAAGGGCUAGAGUGACAGCGUCAUGCAAAUGCUGCAGUCCAGCAGGUCUGAGAGAGGGUGGAUGCUAGAGACUGAACGGCUUCCCGAAGAGCACUGAGUUUUCUAUACCAGAUUCUGCUCCAGUGGCUAGGACCUUUAUGGCUGCUGUUUCUUUUGCUCUGGGCUCUGAUGGAAGAGGAAAAAAAAAAAAAAAAAAAAAAAAAAAGCCACUGUGGAUCCCGUCCCUAAAGUAGAAAUUUUCUUUUUCCUUCUGCAAACAAGGCUAAAGAUCGGAGGAGAAUGAAUACGAAAGUAAUUUGGGAUCGUGGUCGUGCCAUUAAAAGUGUUCGGCUUCAGAAAGAAAUUGUUUGGGAAAUCCGAUUAUUUCUUCUCACUGUAUCAACAGUAUUUGAAAGUUUGUGUUCUUUGAGUAAUCUGGUGCAAGAGACAACAAUCUCCGCAUGUCAGUGUUUUCUACAGUUUAUGGUGCGAAAGCUCGCUUUGACAUUGAAACGAAGAAGCUUUUGCUAGCAGUCUGUAAAAGGAUUAAAUGUUGAACGUGGGGAAGAGGCAAAAAGUGAAUACAUGCCCAGAGGUUAUCCUUGCAUCGAGGAGGUCUCUAAAGUACUCUGUAACCUAGGGCCCAACCGAACAGGAGGACUGAAAGUAUAAAGGGGAAAUAUUGCGAUUAGAAACCCCUUCAUAUGCAUUUAAUCCUUCUUUAAGGCAUUAAAGGAAAUAGAAUCAAAUGGUUACUGUAUGAAUCUGCUGGAAGAAGCAGGUUUUAACCCAUUUUUAGACGCCUCCUUCCGAUGCAUUUUAAUAUGGCUACUUGUGUGUCAAGGCAGUGAAGAUUUUUGCUGUGCUCUUUUCUUUUUGCUUUCAAAAGUUAAGGACUGUAAGAAAAGUCUGUUCAGUCAGCUGAUACAUUGUCUUGAAUGUAUGUAUGUGUCUUGCCUGCUUAUUUGAUCUUUUCUGCCCCCUACGUGAAAGUGCCUUGUGUUUAUUUGGGUGGGAGGAGGGGUUGCUGAUUGGGGUGUGGGGGCGGGCAGGUGGUUGCUUUUUGUUUUGGUUUUGGUUUGGUGUAGUUGUGUGUUGUUUUUGUUUGCUGUUUUUUGUUUGGUUGUUUUGUUUUGUUUUGUUUUUUUUACAAUAGCAGUGAAAGUUUUGCUGACAGCAAUUAUGACUACUAAGCAAUUCAGAUUAUUGGAAGACGAAUUCUACUGGAUCAUAUCAGACUUUUCCUAGUCCCUGAGACCCUAACUUGUGAGGUUUUGUAGCAACAAUCACAAGUCAGGCUCUUGGGACCUAGGCGGAGGGGAACCAGCAGCUUUGGACUAUGAUUGUUUCUCUGCAGAAUUUAGAGAGCCAAAGGAGCUUUCCCUGUCUGGAAGGGAAAAAGGAAAAUACACCUUUGUUAAUAUAUUGGAAAAUAUACUAGAUGUUAAACACCAGACCUGUUCCUAAAAGAAAAAAAAGCUGUUAUCCUUUGUGCAGCUUUAGCAUGCUACCUGUUUGUGUUUAGAAAACUGGACUAGAUGCCAUGUAACUAACAUUUACUAUUAAAAUUUAAACUGAAUGCCAGUUCAUACCACCUCAAAAUAGAACCAAAAGAACAACACCAAAAAAAUAAAAACAAAACACAAAAGCAAGCAAACAAACAAACAAAGAAAAAAACCCACCCGCCCACCAGGUACUAAAAUAUACUAAAGGUUUUCAACCAUAACAUAUCAUUACAGACAUUUCUGGUAGAUAAUUAUCACAAAGUGUAUUUUCAGCUGGAUUGCUACAGUGUUUAAUUAACUUUUAAAACAUGAAGCGCAAAAGCUGAUGUUUGAGGCCUAGAAAGCAUUCAUUCUUUUGAUGUUUGAGUAAUGAUUUCAGUCUACAGGAAAACUGUUGCUUAGCUUUUCCUGUAACAGGGGACAAAGACUGUUUUACAGUAGUUGCCAUUAUUUUUCUUUGUCUAAGUGAGGAUAUAAUAUCACAUUUUAAAUUAUUGUCUCCAUUUAAAUAUUAAUCUGGUAGAGAACAUUGGUGUAAAAAUCGUACUAGAGCAUUAAUAUCACUUCACUCACAGAAGCACAUUCUGUGUACCUGUUAAAUUUAAAUGGAGCUGGCAGCAGUCUGAGAAUCAGAUUCAGCCUCAAUCCUCUUUGUCACUUUUUGCAUUUUUCCUCCCACUGGCAAUAGCAUACUGCAUUUUAGGUUGUCCCCAGUAUGCUAAGUACUUCACUGAUUUUGCAUAGGAAGAUUUAUAGGGGCGUGAGUUGUUCUGCACCAUUCAUUGCUUUUAAACUUCUGAUCUGUUGUGCAUAGUUUGAUCUGUAUUUCUUAACAUUUUAUAGGUGGGUUACUUCUAAUUCAUUUUUCUCUGUUUCCUGUGUCUAAAACAAGAUGCUGCAGGACCUUGUUGAUACAUCAGAUUUCACUGAGACAAAGGCUUCAUACAGAUCAGGCAUCCAAACUAUUUGUUCAUUUCAGAAAUGGUAUUUUGGCUGCAGUGUUUUUUUUCCCCUUGUGUGGGAGGAAUUGUGUUUUACUGUAAGCGUCAAUACUUUUGUUAAAAUAAAUUGUUCUUAUCUGUUAGCGUAA